This is a long non-coding RNA of Falco peregrinus (peregrine falcon), 1908 nucleotides long. RefSeq lists it as uncharacterized. NCBI's taxonomy places the organism in Eukaryota, Metazoa, Chordata, Aves, Falconiformes, Falconidae. The record is from RefSeq and is a predicted model, not a curated record. The transcript is spliced from 3 exons.
GCCAGUAAAGGGGACACUUUGCUAGCGUGGGCCCAGUUUUCUUCUCUGGCUGCCUGUAUCCAGUAAUGGAGAUGCCAGUGUACUAACAAGAGGACCAGUUCCACAUCAAUAGAUUUUCAGCUCCAGGGAGAAGUAUUAGCAAAGAAAGAUGUGUCAAAAUAAGGAAAACACUAAAAAAGGAAGUAAUUUGGCAGUAUCAUCCCAGCAAAACACAAGGUAAGCUUUGGCAGGGUGGCAGCAGAUGAGCCGCAAAGCAUUGUCAAUGUUAUAGUUUAAGUCAUGGGUGAAAUUUCAUGCCUCAGAGUAAAGUCAGAAAUGAGAAACUCUGGGCCUUUCAACAUGGGAAAGCUGAAUCUAUCAAAAUAGUUUCACUUUGCAUCUACGGACUAUGAAAAGAUGUUCUUCCCUUUUUUUUCUCUGUUCCUUCUCUUAGUGUUUCAUCUCACCCUUGCCCUUUGUUGCGCAGGUCCCUUUGCUUAGGAGGCACUGGGUUUUCCAAGGAAAAGGUGGUGUUUCACUACUUCCAUCCACCAGGAAGUCUCCCUCUGGAGAGACUGGAGAAGCCGGUGGCCACCUUCCCCUGUGGCUAGCUAGCAGGGAGCUGAGAGCCCUGGGGGUGCUCACCAAGAAGGCAAGAGGAUGGGACUGAGCACAGGGAAGAGAAGAAUGAGAAAGGUAAAAGGGACGGCGAGAAAGGGCAUGGGGCUCACCACACACCCGUGCUAGUCUACAUAAAGGGUGACGGGCUGUUCCUGGCAGCAGUGCCACAGCCAGCAGAGCUGGUAGCUUGUUUCAUGGAAAACACCAAUCCUGCUGCGCCGUACUGACAUACUGCAGGCCAGCCACAGAAAGGGACACAUCUCUCUGGCCUGUGUGCUUUUCAAAACCCAGGAGCUUGUCCAGGCAGCCUGUGAGAACAGCUCAGGCACUCAGGGUUUGAGAAAAGCCAGAACUGAGGCUGAGUCAGGCCCCUAUGGAUGUGUGUAAUGACAUGGUCUUUACGGGAUGCGUGUUACCUUACCCUAUGGCCCUUGGCUUUGGAAACCGAAGGAGGCUCUAAUCUGUAAACCCUACACCUUGGUGGUGGUCUUUGUUGAAAGGAGUGGGGUAGGUGGAGGGUCCGUCUUGGCCAGGGAGCUGGGUACUACCUGGGGGAAGCACGUUUCCAAGGAGUUGUUCAUAGCACGGAGCAUGUCACUUAAUCCAAGUUUUCACAGGCUGUGAAGUACGGUACUCUGUGGUUUUAGGUGCUUGAUUUGAAGGCGCUGAGGAUUCCCAGUGACCCCUGAAAUUAGGAUGAGCUAUGCUACAGUCAAGUGACGCUUCACUUGGGAUAAACUGCCCUGAAAAGUCUGUGCGCCCAAAGAGAAUAUUUGACUUGCAACUCCUGUAUUUUGUUUCAUUUUCUGCCUGCAUAGGGAUACCACCUUCCUCUUCUGCGUGGAUGUUGAGUGAUACAGGUGAAGCCUUCAGUCAUCCUCCUGAUGAACCCACCAAAAGCAAUGAGAUGCAACCGGCCCCAACUGGAGAGCAGGGCAGGAGCACAAAGGCCAGAGUCAUGUGGCCAGAAAUGGAGGUGGGAGAGGUGGGAGGAGAAGGAAGGCAUCCCUGCCUGUUCCCACACAGGGUGAGUUUGCACAGCCUGAAGUUUGCAGAGCUGAAAGGCCCGAAGCAGCUGAGCCCGUGUUGGCUGGAGGUGGAAAGCAUUAUCAAAUCUUCCCCGUGCCACGUUUUCCUGCGCAGAGUGCCGUUCAACUUGUGCCAAGCUGCAAGCUGUCACGGUGGAGAAGGCAUGAAAAUGAAAUUUGCUGAGAAAAAGAAUCUCCAAAUCCUGGAUUGCUGAAGUGGGUCAUCUUAAAAUUUGUAAGUAUAACCAGACAGAAGAUGUACAUGGAGGGGAGAUGCUAC